UCCCUACGGGGCGCAGCAGGCGCGAAAUCUUUACAAUGCGGGAAACCGCGAUAAGGGGACACCGAGUGCCAGCAUUUAUGUUGGCUGUCCACAUGUGUAAACGGCAUGUGUUAGCAAGGGCCGGGCAAGACCGGUGCCAGCCGCCGCGGUAACACCGGCGGCCCGAGUGGUAAUCACUUUUAUUGGGUCUAAAGGGUCCGUAGCUGGUUUGAUCAGUUCUUCGGGAAAUCUGACAGCUCAACUGUUAGGCUUCCGGGGAAUACUGUCAGACUUGGGACCGGGAGAGGUAAGAGGUACUACAGGGGUAGGAGU
RNAcentral lists this ribosomal RNA (312 nucleotides) under uncultured methanogenic archaeon. RNAcentral describes it as "bacterial SSU rRNA". It matches the Rfam family "Archaeal small subunit ribosomal RNA", at positions 319 to 633 of the family's 1478-position model. The record is from RNAcentral. Lineage: Archaea; Methanobacteriati; Methanobacteriota.